UUCUUGUGAUGGUUAAUUUUAUGUGUCAACCUGACUGGGCCACAGAAUGCCCAUGAUAAAUAGUUUUUCUGGAU
Suricata suricatta (meerkat) is the source of this 74-nucleotide small nucleolar RNA. NCBI's taxonomy places the organism in Eukaryota, Metazoa, Chordata, Mammalia, Carnivora, Herpestidae. The record is from Ensembl.